UCCCCUCGAAAAGCUCAAUAAAGCUCAAAAUUGUCCAAAAUCCGGAAGCUUCAUUUGAAGCUUUUGGUCUUUUCGAGCUUAUGGGAUCUCGAUAGGGGUCAUUCGAAAAACCUUCAUUUUCACUCUCACAUCCUGCUCAAAGCGGAUAGGCCUCGUAAACGAACGAAUAUCCACACCAGUUUCUAGGUUUCUAGUCGCCAAAGUCAUCAAGCGCUCGAGAAUAUCUUUUCAUUUUACAAGAUCUAAUCACUGUGUGUACAGUCCAAGACUGCAUUUGAAAUCAAGCAGCCACUUGAUUAUUCCUUCCACCAGAGUAAAUGAUCUUGUGAAUAAUUAAAGCCUUUGGGUUUCCUCAACAAAAGACAAAGCUGGACAACGAAAAUAGGACUUGAUCACUUCUCUAGUGAGUGAAUCUGCUAGCUCAUUUGUUGACUUUCUUUCACUAAAGUGAAUGGAAGAGGGGUCAAUUGCUAAAACGUUGAAAGCCAGAACAAAUUGGAAUGAUGGACUGUGAAUUCACAUUUCAUGAAUGUAAGAAAUUAUACAACAAAGGAUGGCCUAAUAUGCUCGAGAGAUGAAUAAGAGAAGUGUUGUUGGAGCCAUUCAAUCAAAAGAAACAGAACAUACUCUCAAGUGCUUUCGAGACCUUCACAUCAUCUAAUGAGUUCAAGAACAUGUCCCAGUAAUUACAGUUCACCUUUCUUGGUCAUUCUGGAGGUGAUUUUCACAGAAAGUUUCCAUAUCUAAAAUAGAGCAUGAUCACCUACAACGACCUAGCAUUUCUCCUAAACCUUCAGAUUUACCUUCAGCUUGUGUUGCGAAAUUGUACUUAACCUCUUCCAAGUCAAACCUCUUGGCAACAUUGAAACCGGUACUGUGUGGACACAAUGACGAUAGCCACCUUCCCGUGGGAGCUCUUGGACAGUGUUGAUUUUAUGUAAUGGUUGUGAUCCAUAUUCAGCAAUGAUCUGUACUUGACUAUCUUCCAAUUGAAUAACCAUUUUAUUUGGUUUUAGUUAACUAUAAGUGGGGUUUUCAAUUGAAUACAUGUGUGCUUAAGUGGGUAUAGUUGUCUAAUUUUUACUUGCAGCUUGAAAUUUUAGAUUCAAUCCUUGGUGCUUUUGGUUUAAGUGGGUUGGGAUUAGUUUUGGUUUUAUAUUUAAAAUCCAAUUGGCUGUAAUGAUUUGUUACAUGGAUAUUAAGGGAAAUGAUUUGUU
Molecule: long non-coding RNA, 1217 nt
Organism: Nelumbo nucifera (sacred lotus)
Lineage: Eukaryota; Viridiplantae; Streptophyta; Magnoliopsida; Proteales; Nelumbonaceae
Source: RefSeq, a predicted model, not a curated record